RNAcentral lists this ribosomal RNA (403 nucleotides) under uncultured bacterium. RNAcentral's name for it is "bacterial SSU rRNA". It matches the Rfam family "Bacterial small subunit ribosomal RNA", at positions 362 to 757 of the family's 1533-position model. The record is from RNAcentral.
UUUUGGACAAUGGGCGCAAGCCUGAUCCAGCAAUGCCGCGUGAGUGAAGAAGGCCUUCGGGUUGUAAAGCUCUUUUGUCAGGGAAGAAACGGUGAGCUCCAAUACAGUUUGCUAAUGACGGUACCUGAAGAAUAAGCACCGGCUAACUACGUGCCAGCAGCCGCGGUAAUACGUAGGGUGCAAGCGUUAAUCGGAAUUACUGGGCGUAAAGCGUGCGCAGGCGGUUAUGUAAGUCAGAUGUGAAAUCCCCGGGCUCAACCUGGGAAUGGCAUCUGAGACUGCAUGGCUAGAGUGUGUCAGAGGGGGGUAGAAUUCCACGUGUAGCAGUGAAAUGCGUAGAGAUGUGGAGGAAUACCGAUGGCGAAGGCAGCCCCCUGGGGUAACACUGACGCUCAUGCACGAA